UUAACGGCUAUGACGAGGAGAGUAGGGUAGGUUAUCAUUCAAAAGAGAGGGGUGUCACCGGCUGAAAGCACCCCGGGUGAGACUUAUCUGAAGACCACCUCUGAGCUGGCAGGAGGAACGUUAUUAAAACCAGUAUUCCUGCCCGGUAAAAACCGUUACUUUUCUAAGAGGGUUAUGGAUUAUCAUAACCAAUUAGGGUGGAACCGCGGUCCUUCUCCGUCUCUAUA
This 227-nucleotide non-coding RNA is filed under the name Halothermothrix orenii. RNAcentral describes it as "T-box sequence". It matches the Rfam family "T-box leader". Rfam says of the family: Uncharged tRNA acts as the effector for transcription antitermination of genes in the T-box leader family. The record is from RNAcentral. Lineage: Bacteria; Bacillati; Bacillota; Clostridia; Halanaerobiales; Halothermotrichaceae.